GAUCAUGGCUCAGGAUGAACGCUGGCGGCGUGCCUAACACAUGCAAGUCGAGCGAAGCGGUUUUAAGGAAGUUUUCGGAUGGAAUUAAAACUGACUGAGCGGCGGACGGGUGAGUAACGCGUGGGUAACCUGCCUCAUACGAGGGGGAUAACAGUUAGAAAUGACUGCUAAUACCGCAUAAGCACACAGCUUCGCAUGGAGCAGUGUGAAAAACUCCGGUGGUAUGAGAUGGACCCGCG
Molecule: ribosomal RNA, 239 nt
Filed under: uncultured bacterium
Lineage: Bacteria
Description: partial 16S ribosomal RNA
Rfam family: Bacterial small subunit ribosomal RNA
Source: RNAcentral